GGAUGCGCAGAGGCUGUCGGACUCUGACUGCGCGGAGACCGCUGGACUCUGGUCGCGGCCUUAGUCCGCUGAUCCUCGCUUGGGUGCCCGCCCUUAGCGGCCCGGCGUUGAAUUCCGGGAAGUGGGAGCUUCAGGCUCGCUCCGUGCGGGUAUGGGCGCUAAUGUCACUUGGGAUGGUUGCGCAAGGACAUCGCGGCGGACACUGACAAGGAACCGGGGAGGAACGGGGGUGGGGAGAGACUGCGAUGGGACUCGGGAAGCCGGGAAGGGCCGCGCUGAAUAAGCCUAAGGGGCCGGGUCGCAAGGAGUGUCGGGUAGCACAGGCCUCGGCUCAGUCGGAGCGCCAGGCCUCAGGGUCCGGGCGGGGGCUGCUGCGUCACACCAGGCAGCCUGGGAACGCAACUGUUGGGCAACCGUGGUGGCCUCUCGCCACCUCUUACGCUUGGGCGAUCUGCGAUUGACGCAUCCUGGGAGCUGAUGUCCCGCACGGGCGGGGCGCCGGAGGAGGAGAGAAAAUAGAGACCCGGUUGUUGACAGCCUGUGAUGCCGCUUGAUUCAUGUGUGGGUGGCCUGGUUUAGAAAUGUACCACCCUUCCUUUCUAGGUUCCUCCCCGGAGGGCGGGGUGACGGGUGCGGCGCCGAAUCGCAACAAAAAACGCUGCUCGAGGGAUGUUAGUAACUGUCUCAGCUUAAGUUGCUGCCUUUUAGCUUACAGUUUGUAUCGUAACUGUAAUUGUGGAUCUUAGUUAAAUCCCUUCAGUGUGUUGGAAACAUAUUUUUAAGUGUAUUUUUGAAACAUACUUAGAGCAUUUUGAAAUGCUUUUUUGAAAGCGUUUUUUAAAUCAAAAUUCUGUUACACUUUAUUUUUUUCAGUCUGCAGAUGAACUUGACUCACUCAAGGUUAAUGAUUUUUGUUUUUUAUUUAUGUUUGUAGAGGCGGGGUUUUGUCAUGUUGCUAGGUUGGUGUUGAACUCCUGAGCUCGAGCGAUCCACCUGCCACUGCCUUCCAAAGUGCUGGAAUUACAGGCGUGAGCCACGGCGCCCGGUGGCCGAGGUUAAUAAUAAUUAAAAGUUUCUAAUCCCAUUGUUCAGUUAUUUGAUUUGGUGUAAAGGCGCACUUUCCAAGUCAGAUGAGUUUGUGGUAACAUACAUUCCCCAAAUAAUUAUUUUUCCCUUGUGGGAAAUAUUCCAGUUUUAGGCUACCAGCUGUUUAAACAGUUUGGUUCAAAUCCUUCAAAAAAAUCUCAAAACAUAACUCCACAUAUGUAUUUACUACAUAUUGAAGGGUGUAUUCACUUGGAGAAGUAGGAGAAAGCAAACAGAUGCCAAUGGCCUUUUUGAAAACAUGUAUCUAUCAGCAAUAAUUGAAUAGCAAAACGAAGUGGAACACUACCAUCCUUUGCAAUAUUAGAUAGUUUUAAUACUGGGUUGUGAGGAAUGAAAAGAUCAUACAAAUCGUCAUUUCUGAAGUCAUUUCUGAAGUCGUCAUUUCUGAACUGAGUGCUAAUUUUUCAUAUUAAGCUUUAUGUUAAUAUCCUUAAUGAGAGGAACUUCCUGUGCCCGUAAUUUCUCCAGAGAAACUAUUAACAUACACAGAAUGUUGUAAUCAGAAGUAUAGUUCAGUUAAUAAAGUCCUCAAUUACAACUCUGACAUUUUGUCAUUGUCUUAUGAAAAGAAUUACUGUAUAUACAGUCUAUUUUACGUUUUCCGGAAGCACGUCAGGCAGGUUUUUUGUUUUUUUACUACUAAUUGUGCCAUUGAAUAUGCUAUUCUGUCGUAUUGUGCCAUCAAACAUGCUAUUCGAAAAAAGAUCUUGCCCAAUUUGUAAUAAAAUAUUGAACAUUGGAGAUUUA
Homo sapiens (human) is the source of this 1854-nucleotide long non-coding RNA. Ensembl annotates it as CHD1 divergent transcript. Its record names the gene CHD1-DT. Lineage: Eukaryota; Metazoa; Chordata; Mammalia; Primates; Hominidae. The record is from Ensembl.